This 368-nucleotide unclassified non-coding RNA is filed under the name soil metagenome. RNAcentral describes it as "partial contains 5.8S ribosomal RNA, internal transcribed spacer 2, and large subunit ribosomal RNA". The stretch from base 1 to 120 matches the Rfam family "5.8S ribosomal RNA", at positions 35 to 154 of the family's 154-position model. The record is from RNAcentral.
GAUGAAGAACGUAGCGAAAUGCGAUACGUAGUGUGAAUUGCAGAAUUCAGUGAACCAUCGAAUCUUUGAACGCACAUUGCGCCCGCCGGCAUUCCGGCGGGCACGCCCGUCCGAGCGUCGCUUUUACCACCCUCGGGCCGCUCUUCCCCCUAGCGGGAUGCGCGCGCCCGGCCUUGGGGGCACCCGCGGUACGCCGCGGGUCCCCUGAAACACAGCGGCGGCAGCGCCUGCGGAAAUCCCCUGCGUAGUACUACAUCUCGCACCGGGCCGCGCGUGCAGCUUGCCUUGCGACACGUACAACGUACCAAGGUUGACCUCGGAUCGGGCGGGGUUACCCGCUGAACUUAAGCAUAUCAAUAAGCGGAGGA